This 375-nucleotide ribosomal RNA is filed under the name uncultured bacterium. RNAcentral's name for it is "bacterial SSU rRNA". It matches the Rfam family "Bacterial small subunit ribosomal RNA", at positions 32 to 404 of the family's 1533-position model. The record is from RNAcentral.
AACGCUAGCGGCAGGCUUAAUACAUGCAAGUCGAGGGGUAACAUGGGUAGCAAUACCUGAUGACGACCGGCAAACGGGUGAGGAACACGUACGCAACUUUCCCUAAACUGGUGAAUAGCCCUCCGAAAGGAGGAUUAAUACACCGUAACUUAAUGAAGUGGCAUCACUUUAUUAAUAUAGCUCCGGCGGUUUAGGAUAGGCGUGCGCAUGAUUAGAUAGUUGGCGGGGUAACGGCCCACCAAGUCUACGAUCAUUAACUGGUGUGAGAGCCCGACCAGUCACACGGGCACUGACACACGGGCCCGACUCCUACGGGAGGCAGCAGUAAGGAAUAUUGGUCAAUGGACUAAAGUCUGAACCAGCCAUGCCUCGUGA